RNAcentral lists this ribosomal RNA (675 nucleotides) under Triticum aestivum (bread wheat). RNAcentral's name for it is "partial small subunit ribosomal RNA". Lineage: Eukaryota; Viridiplantae; Streptophyta; Magnoliopsida; Poales; Poaceae. The record is from RNAcentral.
AUGCCACACUAUAAUGUUUGGACCAAGCACGGAGAAAGAGGGAUUAUGAUGGAAGACAAUGAAGAAGAAGAGGAUGAUGCCAACUAUCCUAUGUUCCCUGAAUACGGUGAUACUGCAACGAGGGAAUCUGAAGAUCAAGAGGCAUCAGAUGUGCGUGAUGAUGAUCUUCGCCGGUUCAUUGCUGAUGCACAGAGAGAAUGUGAAAGUGAAAGGGAGAAGUUGAAGUUCGGUCGCAUGUUAGAGGAUCACAAAAAGGGUUAUACCCAAAUUGUGAAGAUGACAACACAAAGCUCGGGAUUUGGUUCGCUACUGAAAAUAAUGAAAAAGAAGUUUCCAAAGGAUAAUGAAUUGCCUGACAGCACGCACGAAGCAAAGAAGGUUCUAUGCCCUCUAGGAUUGGAGGUGCAGAAGAUACAUGCAUGCCCUAAUAAUUGCAUCCUCUACCGCGAUGAGUACGAGAAUUUGAACGUAUGCCUGGUAUGUAAUGCCUUGCGGUAUAAGAUCAGACAAGAUGACCCUGGUGAUGUUGAGGGCGAGCGCCCCAGGAAGAGGGUUCCUGCCAAGGUGAUGUGGUAUGCUCCUAUAAUACCACAGUUAAAACGUUUGUUCAGAAAUAAAGAGCAUACCAAGUUGAUGCGAUGUCACAGGAAGAUCGUAAGAAAGACGGGAAGUUGA